Hordeum vulgare subsp. vulgare (domesticated barley) is the source of this 144-nucleotide long non-coding RNA. RefSeq lists it as uncharacterized. The record is from RefSeq and is a predicted model, not a curated record. NCBI's taxonomy places the organism in Eukaryota, Viridiplantae, Streptophyta, Magnoliopsida, Poales, Poaceae. The transcript has 2 exons.
UCUGUUUAGUUUGUCAGACUUGCAACGCAUUUUAAGUGCCGCGGAACUACUAAGUGAGAUGCUGAGAGAAGUCAAUCCAAAUGAUCAUGAGGCUGUGAAUGAUGAAAUUAUUGCAGAACUUGUGAACCAAUGCCGGUCAUACCA